UGGGAAGUAUUGCACAAUGGGCGCAAGCCUGAUGCAGCGACGCCGCGUGAGGGAUUGAAGGCCUUCGGGUUGUAAACCUCUUCGCUAGGGACGAAGCUUAUUUUGUGACGGUACCUAGAUAAGAAGCACCGGCUAACUACGUGCCAGCAGCCGCGGUAAUACGUAGGGUGCGAGCGUUGUCCGGAUUUACUGGGCGUAAAGAGCUCGUAGGUGGUUUGUCGCGUCGUCUGUGAAAUUCCGGGGCUUAACUUCGGGCGUGCAGGCGAUACGGGCAUAACUUGAGUGCUGUAGGGGAGACUGGAAUUCCUGGUGUAGCGGUGGAAUGCGCAGAUAUCAGGAGGAACACCGAUGGCGAAGGCAGGUCUCUGGGCAGUAACUGACGCUGAGGAGCGAAAGCAUGGGGAGCGAACAGGAUUAGAUACCC
Molecule: ribosomal RNA, 424 nt
Filed under: uncultured bacterium
Lineage: Bacteria
Description: bacterial SSU rRNA
Rfam family: Bacterial small subunit ribosomal RNA
Source: RNAcentral